GACGAACGCUGGCGGCGUGCCUAAUACAUGCAAGUCGAACGAGAGCAACCGGUGCUUGCACUGGUCAAUCUAGUGGCGAACGGGUGAGUAACACGUGGGUAACCUGCCCAUCAGAGGGGGAUAACAUCCGGAAACGGAUGCUAAAACCGCAUAGGUCUUCGAACCGCAUGGUUUGAAGAGGAAAAGAGGCGCAAGCUUCUGCUGAUGGAUGGACCCGCGGUGCAUUAGCUAGUUGGUGAGGGAACGGCUCACCAAGGCCGUGAUGCAUAGCCGACCUGAGAGGGUGAUCGGCCACAUUGGGACUGAGACACGGCCCAAACUCCUACGGGAGGCAGCAGUAGGGAAUCUUCCGCAAUGGACGCAAGUCUGACGGAGCAACGCCGCGUGAGUGAAGAAGGUUUUCGGAUCGUAAAACUCUGUUGUUAGAGAAGAACAAGUGCUAGAGUAACUGUUAGCGCCUUGACGGUAUCUAACCAGAAAGCCACGGCUAACUACGUG
RNAcentral lists this ribosomal RNA (498 nucleotides) under uncultured bacterium. RNAcentral's name for it is "partial 16S ribosomal RNA". It matches the Rfam family "Bacterial small subunit ribosomal RNA", at positions 28 to 507 of the family's 1533-position model. The record is from RNAcentral.